AUAAUUACUUGGCGUAGAGGUCAACCGUGAUCAAUAUUUAGGCGGUCCUUCCAGGGUGGGCCCGGUUAUUGCACAUCGAUUGGGUUGACUCCUGCGAGUAUCCCUAAUGUAGAUACCUAGGACGCAUAAUUUUUGGUAGCUGGGACUGCGUUUGCGCCGUCACUU
Molecule: small nuclear RNA, 165 nt
Organism: Melanaphis sacchari
Lineage: Eukaryota; Metazoa; Arthropoda; Insecta; Hemiptera; Aphididae
Product: U1 spliceosomal RNA
Exons: 1
Source: RefSeq, a predicted model, not a curated record